RNAcentral lists this ribosomal RNA (497 nucleotides) under uncultured bacterium. RNAcentral describes it as "partial 16S ribosomal RNA". It matches the Rfam family "Bacterial small subunit ribosomal RNA", at positions 28 to 507 of the family's 1533-position model. The record is from RNAcentral.
GACGAACGCUGGCGGCGUGCCUAAUACAUGCAAGUAGAACGCUGAAGCGAGGAGCUUGCUCUUCUUGGAUGAGUUGCGAACGGGUGAGUAACGCGUAGGUAACCUGCCUUGUAGCGGGGGAUAACUAUUGGAAACGAUAGCUAAUACCGCAUAACAAUGGAUGACACAUGUCAUUUAUUUGAAAGGGGCAAUUGCUCCACUACAAGAUGGACCUGCGUUGUAUUAGCUAGUAGGUGAGAUAAUGGCUCACCUAGGCGACGAUACAUAGCCGACCUGAGAGGGUGAUCGGCCACACUGGGACUGAGACACGGCCCAGACUCCUACGGGAGGCAGCAGUAGGGAAUCUUCGGCAAUGGGGGCAACCCUGACCGAGCAACGCCGCGUGAGUGAAGAAGGUUUUCGGAUCGUAAAGCUCUGUUGUAAGUCAAGAACGGGUGUGAGAGUGGAAAGUUCACACUGUGACGGUAGCUUACCAGAAAGGGACGGCUAACUACGUG